UACGAGGGGUGCAAGCGUUGCUCGGAAUUAUUGGGCGUAAAGGGUAGGUAGGUGGUCUCGUUUGUCUGAGGUGAAAGCCUUGAGCUUAACUCAAGAAGUGCCUUAGAAACGGCGAGACUGGAGUACUGGAGAGGGUCGUGGAAUUCCCGGUGUAGCGGUGAAAUGCGUAGAGAUCGGGAGGAACACCAGAGGCGAAGGCGGCGACCUGGACAGUUACUGACACUCAACUACGAAAGCGUGGGGAGCAAACAGG
RNAcentral lists this ribosomal RNA (253 nucleotides) under uncultured bacterium. RNAcentral describes it as "partial 16S ribosomal RNA". It matches the Rfam family "Bacterial small subunit ribosomal RNA", at positions 524 to 776 of the family's 1533-position model. The record is from RNAcentral.